This 440-nucleotide ribosomal RNA is filed under the name uncultured bacterium. RNAcentral's name for it is "partial 16S ribosomal RNA". It matches the Rfam family "Bacterial small subunit ribosomal RNA", at positions 338 to 795 of the family's 1533-position model. The record is from RNAcentral.
ACUACGGGUGGCAGCAGUGGGGGAUAUUGCACAAUGGGGGGAACCCUGAUGCAGCGACGCCGCGUGGGUGAAGAAGCGCCUCGGCGCGUAAAGCCCUGUCAGCAGGGAAGAAAAUGACGGUACCUGAAGAAGAAGCCCCGGCUAACUACGUGCCAGCAGCCGCGGUAAUACGUAGGGGGCAAGCGUUAUCCGGAUUUACUGGGUGUAAAGGGGGCGCAGACGGCGAUGCAAGCCAGGAGGGAAAGCCCGGGGCCCAACCCCGGGACUGCUCGUGGAACUGCGUGGCUGGAGUGCAGGAGGGGCAGGCGGAAUUCCUGGUGUAGCGGUGAAAUGCGUAGAUAUCAGGAGGAACACCGGUGGCGAAGGCGGCCUGCUGGACUGCAACUGACGUUGAGGCUCGAAAGUGUGGGGAGCAAACAGGAUUAGAUACCCCAGUAGUC